CGACGAUUGAUAGGAAAAUAACCGGAGUGGCCAACCAGCGCAGUAAUAUUAUGUAGAUCAGACUUAUGGCGGCACUGAUACCAAGGAUCGAUGCAAUGGUCCAUCUAUAAAUGACAAAGUCAGCUACAGUCAUUGUAUAAUUGACAAACAGUUCGGGAAUUCCGUUUGGAAUACAACGACCAGUUACAGAAGUACUGGUCAGAUACCACUGAGCACACACGUCGUUUGAAACGGUGGUUCAUGGUCUGUUGGCAUUCAUAAAAUAAGGUAAAAACCUGUCCAGAACUCCAUGGCUUUUUCCUGGCAAUAGCUUAUUUGCUGUGCACCUAACUGCUCGAUCUUCGUGCAUCGUCUUGAUUGUCUCCUAAGGGGAAGGAGAAAGUUUCUUCUUUGCUUCGAACUGGUCUCUCAUAGUAGGAAGAUCAACCUCAGCAACUGCGGAUGGCUCAAGGGUGAUCAAUUCAGGUUGAAUUUUGUCCAGAAGUGCUUUCACUUCAGCCUCGCGGCGUUGGCUCUUUGUCUGGAAUGGAUUACUCUCAAGAGCAUCAAAAUUGGCUUCGGCACUCCCAGGAACAAGUAGAGAUUGAAAUCCUUUGGCUGUUGCGAUGCCCAACACAUCUU
Molecule: long non-coding RNA, 621 nt
Filed under: Neodiprion pinetum (white pine sawfly)
Lineage: Eukaryota; Metazoa; Arthropoda; Insecta; Hymenoptera; Diprionidae
Description: uncharacterized LOC124217629, transcript variant X2
Source: RNAcentral